AUCGAGUUGAAGAGUUUGAAAUAGGACGAAACGUGCGUUCUGGAU
RNAcentral lists this non-coding RNA (45 nucleotides) under Schistosoma margrebowiei. The record is from RNAcentral. Lineage: Eukaryota; Metazoa; Platyhelminthes; Trematoda; Strigeidida; Schistosomatidae.